Molecule: ribosomal RNA, 765 nt
Filed under: uncultured Streptococcus sp.
Lineage: Bacteria; Bacillati; Bacillota; Bacilli; Lactobacillales; Streptococcaceae
Description: bacterial SSU rRNA
Rfam family: Bacterial small subunit ribosomal RNA
Source: RNAcentral
GACGAACGCUGGCGGCGUGCCUAAUACAUGCAAGUAGAACGCUGAAGAGAGGAGCUUGCUCUUCUUGGAUGAGUUGCGAACGGGUGAGUAACGCGUAGGUAACCUGCCUUGUAGCGGGGGAUAACUAUUGGAAACGAUAGCUAAUACCGCAUAACAAUGGAUGACCCAUGUCAUUUAUUUGAAAGGGGCAAAUGCUCCACUACAAGAUGGACCUGCGUUGUAUUAGCUAGUAGGUGAGGUAACGGCUCACCUAGGCGACGAUACAUAGCCGACCUGAGAGGGUGAUCGGCCACACUGGGACUGAGACACGGCCCAGACUCCUACGGGAGGCAGCAGUAGGGAAUCUUCGGCAAUGGGGGCAACCCUGACCGAGCAACGCCGCGUGAGUGAAGAAGGUUUUCGGAUCGUAAAGCUCUGUUGUAAGUCAAGAACGAGUGUGAGAGUGGAAAGCUCACACUGUGACGGUAGCUUACCAGAAAGGGACGGCUAACUACGUGCCAGCAGCCGCGGUAAUACGUAGGUCCCGAGCGUUGUCCGGAUUUAUUGGGCGUAAAGCGAGCGCAGGCGGUUUGAUAAGUCUGAAGUUAAAGGCUGUGGCUCAACCAUAGUUCGCUUUGGAAACUGUCAAACUUGAGUGCAGAAGGGGAGAGUGGAAUUCCAUGUGUAGCGGUGAAAUGCGUAGAUAUAUGGAGGAACACCGGUGGCGAAAGCGGCUCUCUGGUCUGUAACUGACGCUGAGGCUCGAAAGCGUGGGGAGCGAACAGG